AGCCACACUGGGACUGAGACACGGCCCAGACUCCUACGGGAGGCAGCAGUGGGGAAUAUUGCACAAUGGGCGCAAGCCUGAUGCAGCGACGCCGCGUGAGGGAUGACGGCCUUCGGGUUGUAAACCUCUUUCAGCAGGGAAGAAGCCACAAGUGACGGUACCUGCAGAAGAAGCGCCGGCUAACUACGUGCCAGCAGCCGCGGUAAUACGUAGGGCGCAAGCGUUGUCCGGAAUUAUUGGGCGUAAAGAGCUCGUAGGCGGUUUGUCGCGUCUGCUGUGAAAGCCCGGGGCUUAACCCCGGGUGUGCAGUGGGUACGGGCAGACUAGAGUGCAGUAGGGGAGACUGGAAUUCCUGGUGUAGCGGUGGAAUGCGCAGAUAUCAGGAGGAACACCGAUGGCGAAGGCAGGUCUCUGGGCUGUU
RNAcentral lists this ribosomal RNA (421 nucleotides) under Chaetoceros affinis. Its description in RNAcentral is "partial Bacterial small subunit ribosomal RNA". It matches the Rfam family "Bacterial small subunit ribosomal RNA", at positions 306 to 738 of the family's 1533-position model. Lineage: Eukaryota; Bacillariophyta; Thalassiosirophyceae; Chaetocerotales; Chaetocerotaceae. The record is from RNAcentral.